RNAcentral lists this ribosomal RNA (253 nucleotides) under uncultured bacterium. RNAcentral describes it as "partial 16S ribosomal RNA". It matches the Rfam family "Bacterial small subunit ribosomal RNA", at positions 524 to 776 of the family's 1533-position model. The record is from RNAcentral.
UACGUAGGCAGCGAGCGUUGUUCGAAGUUACUGGGCGUAAAGGGUGUGUAGGCGGUUGUUUAAGUUUGGUGUGAAAUCUCCCGGCUCAACUGGGAGGGUGCGCCGAAUACUGAAUGACUAGAGUGCGGGAGAGGAAAGUGGAAUUCCUGGUGUAGCGGUGAAAUGCGUAGAUAUCAGGAGGAACACCGGUGGUGUAGACGGCUUUCUGGACCGUAACUGACGCUGAGACACGAAAGCGUGGGUAGCAAACAGG